This 253-nucleotide ribosomal RNA is filed under the name uncultured bacterium. RNAcentral describes it as "partial 16S ribosomal RNA". It matches the Rfam family "Bacterial small subunit ribosomal RNA", at positions 524 to 776 of the family's 1533-position model. The record is from RNAcentral.
UACGUAGGGUGCAAGCGUUGUUCGGAAUUAUUGGGCGUAAAGAGCUCGUAGGCGGUUUGUCGCGUCGAAUGUGAAAACCCGGGGCUCAACCCCGGGCCUGCAUUCGAUACGGGCAGACUAGAGUUCGGUAGGGGAGUCUGGAAUUCCUGGUGUAGCGGUGAAAUGCGCAGAUAUCAGGAGGAACACCGGUGGCGAAGGCGGGACUCUGGGCCGAUACUGACGCUGAGGAGCGAAAGCGUGGGGAGCAAACAGG